This 253-nucleotide unclassified non-coding RNA is filed under the name uncultured Pirellulaceae bacterium. RNAcentral's name for it is "contains 16S-23S intergenic spacer region". It matches the Rfam family "Bacterial small subunit ribosomal RNA", at positions 524 to 776 of the family's 1533-position model. The record is from RNAcentral. Lineage: Bacteria; Pseudomonadati; Planctomycetota; Planctomycetia; Pirellulales; Pirellulaceae.
UACGUACCGGACGAACGUUAUUCGGAAUUACUGGGCUUAAAGCGUGCGCAGGCGGUCUGGCAGGUUGGGUGUGAAAACCCUCGGCUCAACCGAGGAAUGGCGCUCAAUACCACUGGGCUAGAGCGAGGUAGAGGUGAGCGGAACUACGGGUGGAGCGGUGAAAUGCGUUGAUCUCCGUGGGAACGCCGGAGGCGAAAGCGGCUCACUGGGCCUCUGCUGACGCUCAGGCACGAAAGCUAGGGGAGCGAACGGG